Molecule: non-coding RNA, 261 nt
Organism: Vicia faba (fava bean)
Lineage: Eukaryota; Viridiplantae; Streptophyta; Magnoliopsida; Fabales; Fabaceae
Source: the annotation of a GenBank genome assembly
AUGACGGGGAAAAGAAACAGAAUCAGAACCUCACCACCGACUACCAUCAGUGUCCCUGUUCCGACAUCGCAGCAACCUCCAACAACAAGCACAGACCCUCGCCACACUCCCACUCACCUAAUCUACCGUCGCCGGCCACAAAUCGCGGCGAACUUUCUCCAUCCAUCGGCGAAACAACGACAACACCGACCCCAACGGGAUCACGAUGCACAUACCACAAACAACACUAGCAUACAAAUCCGCGACUCCCUCCGUUCAUGA